AUGCAGAAACUCAAUAGGAAACUUAUGCACAUAACUAUUGGGAUGGUACCCUUGCUCUUUUGGCCCCUUUUCAGGGAAUUCCUCAAGGCACCACUGUACUAUGUUACUGCUAUAGCUUUGGCCACUUCUGUAUUAUGGAGAACAUCUCCGAUUGCUAUAGCACUUAUCUGCAACUUAUGCGCUGGAGAUGGUGUAGCAGACAUAGUGGGGCGCCGUGUAGGGAAAGAAAAGCUUCCAUACAACCCCAACAAGUCAUAUGCUGGAAGCAUAGCAAUGGCUGUGGCUGGUUUCUUGGCUUCAGUUGGGUGCAUGCAUUACUUUCACACUUUUGGUUUCAUUGAGGAAAGUUGGCGCAUGACCUUCGGCUUCCUUGUGGUCUCCGUAGCCACGGCACUUGUAGAGUCACACCCCAUCAGCACUGAAUUGGAUGACAAUUUAACUGUACCUCUCGUAUCAUUUCUGGUUGGUAGCCUCAUUCUAUGA
This 483-nucleotide ribosomal RNA is filed under the name Triticum aestivum (bread wheat). RNAcentral describes it as "partial small subunit ribosomal RNA". The record is from RNAcentral. Lineage: Eukaryota; Viridiplantae; Streptophyta; Magnoliopsida; Poales; Poaceae.